AGCGGGAAGUAGUUUACUACUUUGCCGGCGAGCGGCGGACGGGUGAGUAAUGUCUGGGAAACUGCCUGAUGGAGGGGGAUAACUACUGGAAACGGUAGCUAAUACCGCAUAACGUCUUCGGACCAAAGUGGGGGACCUUCGGGCCUCACGCCAUCGGAUGUGCCCAGAUGGGAUUAGCUAGUAGGUGGGGUAAUGGCUCACCUAGGCGACAAUCCCUAGCUGGUCUGAGAGGAUGACCAGCCACACUGGAACUGAGACACGGUCCAAACUCCUACGGGAGGCAGCAGUGGGGAAUAUUGCACAAUGGGCGCAAGCCUGAUGCAGCCAUGCCGCGUGUGUGAAGAAGGCCUUCGGGUUGUAAAGCACUUUCAGCGAGGAGGAAGGCCAAUAACUUAAUACGUUGUUGGAUUGACGUUACUCGCAAAAAAAGCACCGGCUAACUCCGUGCCAGCAGCCGCGGUAAUACGGAGGGUGCAAGCGUUAAUCGGAAUUACUGGGCGUAAAGCGCACGCAGGCGGUUUGUUAAGUCAGAUGUGAAAUCCCCGCGCUUAACGUGGGAACUGCAUUUGAAACUGGCAAGCUAGAGUCUUGUAGAGGGGGGUAGAAUUCCAGGUGUAGCGGUGAAAUGCGUAGAGAUCUGGAGGAAUACCGGUGGCGAAGGCGGCCCCCUGGACAAAGACUGACGCUCAGGUGCGAAAGCGUGGGGAGCAAACA
Molecule: ribosomal RNA, 714 nt
Filed under: uncultured bacterium
Lineage: Bacteria
Description: bacterial SSU rRNA
Rfam family: Bacterial small subunit ribosomal RNA
Source: RNAcentral